GACGAACCGUGCGAACGUUGUUCGGAUUUAUUGGGCGUAAAGAGCGUGUAGGCGGCCAGGUGGGUCUGCUGUGAAAACUCGAGGCUCAACCUCGAGACGUCGGCGGAAACCAUCUGGCUAGAGUCCGGAAGAGGAGAGUGGAAUUCCUGGUGUAGCGGUGAAAUGCGCAGAUAUCAGGAAGAACACCCGUGGCGAAGGCGGCUCUCUGGGACGGUACUGACGCUGAGACGCGAAAGCGUGGGGAGCGAACAGG
This 253-nucleotide ribosomal RNA is filed under the name uncultured bacterium. RNAcentral's name for it is "partial 16S ribosomal RNA". It matches the Rfam family "Bacterial small subunit ribosomal RNA", at positions 524 to 776 of the family's 1533-position model. The record is from RNAcentral.